UACGUAGGCAGCGAGCGUUGUUCGGAGUUACUGGGCGUAAAGGGUGUGUAGGCGGUUGUUUAAGUUUGGUGUGAAAUCUCCCGGCUCAACUGGGAGGGUGCGCCGAAUACUGAAUGACUUGGAGUGCGGGAGAGGAAAGUGGAAGUUCCUGGUGUAGCGGUGAAAUGCGUAGAUAUCAGGAGGAACACCGGUGGUGUAGACGGCUUUCUGGACCGUAACUGACGCUGAGGCACGAAAGCGUGGGUAGCGAACAGGG
This 256-nucleotide ribosomal RNA is filed under the name uncultured bacterium. Its description in RNAcentral is "partial 16S ribosomal RNA". It matches the Rfam family "Bacterial small subunit ribosomal RNA", at positions 524 to 777 of the family's 1533-position model. The record is from RNAcentral.